This 675-nucleotide ribosomal RNA is filed under the name Triticum aestivum (bread wheat). RNAcentral describes it as "partial small subunit ribosomal RNA". The record is from RNAcentral. Lineage: Eukaryota; Viridiplantae; Streptophyta; Magnoliopsida; Poales; Poaceae.
AUGCUUAGGAAAAUGUUCCAAGGUGGUUCUUCAAAGAAGCAAGGACCCAGGCUUGCAAUGCGUGAUGCUGACGAAGAGCCACCAAGAGACGCUCCAGUGCGUCCUUGUGAGUGGCCUUCUGAAAAUUUUAUGGAUCAAGCGGGAAUAAAAGAAGAAUUCAACGCAUAUUUGCGUAACGCUGAUCUCAUGAGCUUCGAGGAAGAGAAGUGCAGUCAGUAUCAUGAGCUCACUAGCUCCUUUGUGAGGAGGUUUGAAUUUUCCACUUCACGUAAUUUUCCAACUGUCCUGUUUGAUCUUUAUGAUAAAUCUUAUACCAUGGACUUAGAGGAUUUUACCACUGCAUGCAAACUUCCACAAUGGGGUAGUAUAAGGGAUCCUCGCAAAUAUGAAUUUAGAGAUUUUCUUGCCGAUAUAACUGUGGGAGAAUCUAGGGAUAUUACACAAGCUACCAUAGGGGGCAUUCACUUUCCUGCCAUACAUUAUUUUGCUCUCUUCAUAGGUAGAUGCAUAAAUGGUAAAGAUGAGGCAUGUCACGUGUGUGUCCCUGACCUCAGUAUUCUUAGGAGUGUUGUGUUAGGAGACAAAUCAUAUAAUUUGGGAGCCAUUGUUGCACGUAGGUUGCAUCUUAUAGACGUAAUGGAGAUUUCUUUGGGGGAAUUUAUGCAACCCGCGUAG